CAGUCAGGCUAACACUGUCAGUAGGCUUUAGGCUUGAAUAAUUGAAAAAAAAAAUUGUAGGAACAUGUUAAUUUGGUAAGUGACCAGUGGAAGAAAAGCAUGCAUGUGGGAUUGGUUUUCUAAACCACCAUUUGUCCAAAGAUCUAUCUAAGCAGUUCUGAGGUCAGCUUUCUUUUGUGACUUUCCUAACACAGCUAGCUUAUGCAUGCAGAUGGCAUAAAUAAGUUAAUGUCUCAGGUAGGCAGCCUCUAUAGAGGUUAGGGACAGAAAACAUUACCAAGGUCAAGCUUUGGAAAGGAAAAUUAACCCUUGGCUACUGACAAAAAGGCUUGAUUGUUUUAUUAGAGGAAGCUGAGUAUAAGAGGACUGGGAAGAGAAGUGGCCAUUGAACUUGACCUGAGAAGAAACAGACUACCAAAUCCAGAGAAAGUGCCAAGACUUGAUGUACAGAAACAGGAGUGCACAGCAUAUUUCACCAUGAGGCUUUGAUUAUGACAUUCUACAGUUCUUUGUCAAACGUCCCAGGGUCUUUUCUGGAAGGAAUGUGGACACAGUCAAGAGCCUAGCAAGCCAACCUGUGUGAGGCAGAAUGCAAAGGAAAGCAGAACCUUGAAGCUGAAGGCAGCUGGGCUCUCACAACUUAGGACUGCCAGACCAGCCCUGACCUGUGAACCUCUGCAUUGUCAUUGUUGUUGCUGAGUAGAAUUUUAUGUAAUUAAGCUCCUGCUUAUUUGGAAUUUCUGUAUAUGCAGUUAAACCUAAUCCUAACCAAUAGUGACCUAAAUAACCCUAAAAUUGUUACAUACUUUACAUACUUGUUGUGGAUUCUAUGGCUCUAGAGCAUUUUCUGAGUGCUCUGGUAUAGCAUGAGUCUCUUUUAGUAGAUUAUACUACAUUUUUCCUGGCUAAAUGGAUAAAUGUUAAAAUAAUCCAUCACCAUAUUUUGUCAUAUUCAUGUCCACUAUGUACAGUAAUUCCAAUGUCUCUUUUCCUAAUUUGACAAAAUUAUUUUAUUUUGUUUUGUAUUUUAUAAAAAUGUAUAAGUUAUUUAAUAAAUGGUAUAGAAAGAUUAAGAAUUUUUUCUUUGAUUUAUGUAUUGGGGCACUUUUGAAUUUUUUCUAAUAUAUUAAAAUAUAAUUUACAUAUACUAAAAUUCACUAACUUUAGAUGAACGGUAUGGUGAGUUUUGAUUAAAACUUGCUUAUGUUACAUAAUCAUAUUACUCUCUCCAGAAUCACAAUAUGCAAUAAAACAUUCCCACCACUCCAAAAUCUCCCUCCCCUCUCCAUCCCCCUUUCUUUAUUUCUGAUUUUUUUUUCUCUUUCAAUUGUGGAUGUCUUAAUGUCCCAGUGUCAUUUGUUAAAAGUAAUUCAUCCUUCAUUGAAUUACAUUUUCACAUUCGUUAAAAUGUGUGGCUCUAUUUAGUCUAUUCCUUUUAAUUACAGAGUAAUAUUCCCUUAUAUGAAUAUACCAGAAUGUGUUUAUUUACUCACCUGUUGUUGGACAUUUGGUUAUUUCUAGUUUUUGACUAGUGUGAAUAAAGAUGCUGUAAACUUGCA
This is a long non-coding RNA of Marmota monax (woodchuck), 1559 nucleotides long. RefSeq lists it as uncharacterized. NCBI's taxonomy places the organism in Eukaryota, Metazoa, Chordata, Mammalia, Rodentia, Sciuridae. The transcript is spliced from 2 exons. The record is from RefSeq and is a predicted model, not a curated record.